UGGGCUUGAGCCGUGGCUUUCGGAGCUAACGCGUUAAGUAGACCGCCUGGGGAGUACGGUCGCAAGAUUAAAACUCAAAUGAAUUGACGGGGGCCCGCACAAGCGGUGGAGCAUGUGGUUUAAUUCGAUGCAACGCGAAGAACCUUACCUACUCUUGACAUCCAGAGAAGCCAGCGGAGACGCAGGUGUGCCUUCGGGAACUCUGAGACAGGUGCUGCAUGGCUGUCGUCAGCUCGUGUCGUGAGA
RNAcentral lists this ribosomal RNA (246 nucleotides) under Vibrio sp. s2m3. Its description in RNAcentral is "partial 16S ribosomal RNA". It matches the Rfam family "Bacterial small subunit ribosomal RNA", at positions 827 to 1072 of the family's 1533-position model. Lineage: Bacteria; Pseudomonadati; Pseudomonadota; Gammaproteobacteria; Vibrionales; Vibrionaceae. The record is from RNAcentral.